RNAcentral lists this ribosomal RNA (538 nucleotides) under Panthera pardus (leopard). RNAcentral describes it as "partial large subunit ribosomal RNA". It matches the Rfam family "Bacterial large subunit ribosomal RNA", at positions 1816 to 2597 of the family's 2925-position model. The record is from RNAcentral. Lineage: Eukaryota; Metazoa; Chordata; Mammalia; Carnivora; Felidae.
CACCUCUAGCAUUUCUAGUAUUAGAGGCACUGCCUGCCCAGUGACAUACGUUAAAUGGGCACGGUACCCUGAAGGUGCAAAGGUAGCAUAAUCACUUGUUCCCUAAAUAGGGACCUGUAUGAACAGCCACACGAGGGUUUUACUGUCUUUUACUUCCCAUCCAUGAAACUGACCUUCCGUGAAGAGGUGGGAAUAUGGCAAUAAGAAGAGAAGACCCUGUGGAGCUUUAAUUAAGAGACUAUACCAACACAACCAACAGGGAAAACAAAUCUCCACAGGGGCCAACAAUUUAGGUUGGGGUGACUUCGGAGAAUAAAAUAAGCUCCAAGUGAUUUAGAUCUAGACUUCCUAGUCAAAAGUACGACAUCACAUAUUGAUCCAAAAACUUGAUCAACGGAACAAGUUACCCUAGGGAUAACAACGCAAUCCUAUUUUAGAGUCCAUGUUGACAAUAGGGUUUACAACUUCCAUGUUUGAUCAGGAUAUCCUGAUGGUGCAGCAGCUAUCAAAGUUUCGUUUGUUCAACGAUUAAAGUCCU